RNAcentral lists this long non-coding RNA (2598 nucleotides) under Sus scrofa (pig). RNAcentral's name for it is "lncRNA (ENSSSCG00030057720.1)". Lineage: Eukaryota; Metazoa; Chordata; Mammalia; Artiodactyla; Suidae. The record is from RNAcentral.
UGAGUGAGGCCAGGAUACUAGUUGGGUUCCUAACCCUCUGAGCCACUAUAGGAACUCCCCCUGCUUUAAACUCUUAAAUGGGAGUUUCCUAGUGGCUCAGCAGUUCAAGGAUUUGGCAUUGUCACUUCCGUGGUUCUGGUCACUGCUGUGACUUGGGCUCGAUUUCUGGCCUGGGAAUUUCCACUUGCCUUGGGUGUCCCCCCCCCCCACAAAAAAAAAACCCUUACAGUAGCUUUGUACUGAUCUUUCUCCUUGCUAGUCUCAUCUUCCUCAAAUCCAUCUUCAAACUGUAGUUUGGCCAGUGGUUAUCAUAAACCAUCACUUCAUGCCUCUAUCAUACAAUGAUUGUAUUGUAAUGAAAUUACUCUUUUGCUGUGUCUGUCCCCCUAAUAGACUGAUCUCCUUGAGGCAGGGAGCUGCCCUUUUGUCUUGAAUUCUUAGUGUCCAGUGUCACCCAACUGGUGUGGGCGCUAAAUAUUACAAGUCAUUUCCCAGACCCUUCAUACCAUCAAUGCUCCCCUUUACAUAAGAGGGGAAAGAAACAUUCAGACCUACUUUUUGCUCUGAAUCUGAGUUGGAGGUUGGGUUGGCAGCAUUUGAAAGCAGAACUUAUUAGAUCUUCAGAGAACUUAUAAUGGCUUUGUCAACAGAUGCUCUUGGAAGGGUUGGGGGGAAAAAAUGCUCAAGCAAAAGAUGAAAGCUAUCAAGAUUCCUCAGGCUUAAAAUCUGUUUAUCACCCUCUGACUCACUUGAAAAGGAGAGUGGGGCAUUUGCCAGUAUUUGAUCACCGGUCUUUUCUCAAUUGUUAUAUCUGCUAUUAUUUUAACAUCUAGGAUUAAGGACUUAUUUAGCCCUUGAGAUGCUAGGUAAUGCCUCUUAACCACAACUGCAAAACAGGCAUCUGCCCCCAGCUGAGUCUUCACCUCACAUUACCUAAGGAACCCUUGUCAUCCCUGAGGAAAGGCUGGGUUACAGCAGGGAUCCCCACAUUGUCAUGCAUCAGAAUCACCUGUAGGCUUAUAAAAAUCUGUAUUUCUGGAGUUCCCAUUGUAGCCCAAUGAUUAACGAACCUGACUAGCAUCCAUGCGGACUCAGGUUCAAUCCCUGACCUCGCUCAGUGGGUUAAGGAUCUAGUGUUGCCUUGAGCUGUGGUGUAGGUCGCAGACGCAGCUCAGAUCCCCCGUUGCUGUGACUCUGGUGUAGGCUGGUGGCUAAAGCUCUGAUUUGACCCCUAGCCUGGGAACCUCCAUAUGCCGUAGGUGUGGCCCUAAAAGACAAAAAAAAAGGGGGGGGGAAUCUGCAUUUUUAACAGGUUCCUGCAGAGGCUGCAGCUGCCAGUCCAGAAACCACACUCUGAGAAACAUGGGGUACGGGGUAUGAGGCUUCUCUAAUUUCAGUGUCCCUGUGAAUUACCUGGGCAUGAGGUUCAUAUGCAGCUUUUGCUUCAUUGGGUCUGGGCUGGGGGGUCAAGGUUCUAUAUUUCUAAGAAGAAUCCAAAUUGCUAUUGGUCUUGGACCACUUUUAAGUUCUCUUCUCUGGCUGAUUAUUAGAAUCUUCUGAAAGGUUUACAAAAUAGUGCUGCCCAGAAAUUCCACAAGAUUCUGCUCUAAUGGGCCUGCAUAGGGGCCCAGAAAUCUGUAUUUUUAAUGAGCCACCCCAGAUAGUUCUAUUACAGAUGAUCCAUGGUCCACAUUGGAAGAGAAACUGGUCUAGAAAGGACAAAUUCAUUUGUGGAAUGUUUCUAUCAAUGCGGCUGUCUAAAAAUAUAUACACUACUUGUAGAAUAUAUUUAAAAGACUAUUACAUUUCAUUGUUCCUAAGGUGCCCUUUUUCAUAUUUUGAUAUCCGUAAAAUUGGAAGACCUCUCACCACCAGUGGGGCUUACAGCAGUAUUGGCAGCAUUUUAUUUCUCUCUGGUACCUAAGGUGACUGAUAGAUAAAAUACAGAGGUCCUUACUCUAUGAAAUUCAGCAUAUUAACUUUAAAUGAUUUGAAGAAACACAAAUAAACAGGGCUUAUUCACAAUAUAUCAGUACUUUUGGGGACUAAUUCGAUUUUCAUCACAUGAGAAGUUUUUAAAAUACAUCAAAAGUGUUUGCACUUUCCCUUCCCUUUCCACGGAAGAGGGUAUCUGUUGUGUGAGGAACAGGAGUGAAGUGUGGAGAGGCGAUGUAGGAAGAGAAAAAGGCCAAAACACCCUCAGAGGGCCCUGGACCAAGAUGGAAGUGAGAUCGAAGCUGGCCAGAGGCGACAAGAAGGGCUGGUUUGGGACGAGGAGUCUGAGUGUGAGCCUGGGAACCCGUCCCACCCCUGAGCCACAUCUCCAGAAACCCAUGUUCCUUCCCAAUUCUUUAAACUUAAUGUGUGUGAGAGAUAAGGUGGCCUGAAAUAGUCAGAUCACCUGGACAUUAAAAGUAGCGUUUGUUUGCUCUCCUUUCUCUUUGAGGGUAGGCAGGCUCCCUGGACAUACAUCUCCUUUAACUUAGGGCUUCAAAAAAUUAAUUCUGCAUCUUUACAAUGGCAUUUCCAAAGAGUGUGUAAAAUGUUUAUGGACAUGAAGGAGAAAAAUCACAUGCGUAGAUGAUGGAUGGAUGGAUA